CGACGCAGCAACGCCGCGUGUGUGAUGAAGGUCUUCGGAUUGUAAAGCACUUUCGACCGGGACGAAAAAGCGGGUGCUAAUCAGCCUGCCUUGACGGUACCGGGAGAAGAAGCACCGGCUAACUCUGUGCCAGCAGCCGCGGUAAUACAGAGGGUGCAAGCGUUGUUCGGAAUUAUUGGGCGUAAAGCGCGUGUAGGCGGCCUGGCAAGUCGGGUGUGAAAGCCCUCAGCUCAACCGAGGAAGUGCGCCCGAAACUGCUAUGGCUUGAGUGCCGGAGAGGGUGGCGGAAUUCCCCAAGUAGAGGUGAAAUUCGUAGAUAUGGGGAGGAACACCGGUGGCGAAGGCGGCCACCUGGACGGUGACUGACGCUGAGACGCGAAAGCGUGGGGAGCAAACAGGAUUAGAUACCCUGGUAGUCCACGCCGUAAACGAUGAGAACUAGGUGUCGUGGGAGUUGACCCCCGCGGUGCCGUAGCUAACGCAUUAAGUUCUCCGCCUGGGAAGUACGGUCGCAAGACUA
RNAcentral lists this ribosomal RNA (520 nucleotides) under uncultured Pseudomonadota bacterium. Its description in RNAcentral is "bacterial SSU rRNA". It matches the Rfam family "Bacterial small subunit ribosomal RNA", at positions 384 to 896 of the family's 1533-position model. The record is from RNAcentral. Lineage: Bacteria; Pseudomonadati; Pseudomonadota.